GCCUGGCUGGCUCAGUCGGGGGAGCGUGGGACUCUUGAUCUCAGGGUCGUGGGUUCGAGCCCCAUGUUGGGUG
Molecule: non-coding RNA, 73 nt
Organism: Odobenus rosmarus divergens (Pacific walrus)
Lineage: Eukaryota; Metazoa; Chordata; Mammalia; Carnivora; Odobenidae
Source: the annotation of a RefSeq genome assembly